GACGAACGCUGGCGGCGUGCUUAACACAUGCAAGUCGAACGGUGAUGAUGGGGCUUGCUCUGUCUGAUCAGUGGCGAACGGGUGAGUAACACGUGAGUAACCUGCCCCUGACUCUGGGAUAACCGUGGGAAACGACGGCUAAUACCGGAUAUGAGACGUCCACGCAUGUGGAGCGUCUGGAAAGAUUUAUUGGUCUGGGAUGGACUCGCGGCCUAUCAGCUUGUUGGUGGGGUAAUGGCCUACCAAGGCGACGACGGGUAGCCGGCCUGAGAGGGCGACCGGCCACACUGGGACUGAGAUACGGCCCAGACUCCUACGGGAGGCAGCAGUGGGGAAUAUUGCACAAUGGGCGAAAGCCUGAUGCAGCGACGCCGCGUGGGGGAUGAAGGCCUUCGGGUUGUAAACCCCUUUCAGCAGGGAAGAAGCGAAAGUGACGGUACCUGCAGAAGAAGCGCCGGCUAACUACGUGCCAGCAGCCGCGGUAAUACGUAGGGCGCAAGCGUUGUCCGGAAUUAUUGGGCGUAAAGAGCUCGUAGGCGGUUUGUCGCGUCUGCUGUGAAAUCCUGAGGCUCAACCUCGGGCUUGCAGUGGGUACGGGCAGACUAGAGUGCGGUAGGGGUGACUGGAAUUCCUGGUGUAGCGGUGGAAUGCGCAGAUAUCAGGAGGAACACCGAUGGCGAAGGCAGGUCACUGGGCCGCAACUGACGCUGAGGAGCGAAAGCAUGGGGAGCGAACAGGAUUAGAUACCCUGGUAGUCCAUGCCGUAAACGUUGGGCACUAGGUGUGGGGCUCAUUCCACGAGUUCCGUGCCGCAGCAAACGCAUUAAGUGCCCCGCCUGGGGAGUACGGCCGCAAGGCUAAAACUCAAAGGAAUUGACGGGGGCCCGCACAAGCGGCGGAGCAUGCGGAUUAAUUCGAUGCAACGCGAGGACUUACCAAGGCUUGACAUACACC
This 954-nucleotide ribosomal RNA is filed under the name uncultured bacterium. Its description in RNAcentral is "bacterial SSU rRNA". It matches the Rfam family "Bacterial small subunit ribosomal RNA", at positions 28 to 992 of the family's 1533-position model. The record is from RNAcentral.